RNAcentral lists this ribosomal RNA (498 nucleotides) under uncultured Streptococcus sp. RNAcentral describes it as "bacterial SSU rRNA". It matches the Rfam family "Bacterial small subunit ribosomal RNA", at positions 28 to 508 of the family's 1533-position model. The record is from RNAcentral. Lineage: Bacteria; Bacillati; Bacillota; Bacilli; Lactobacillales; Streptococcaceae.
GACGAACGCUGGCGGUGUGCCUAAUACAUGCAAGUAGAACGCUGAAGAGUGGAGCUUGCUCUUCUUGGAUGAGUUGCGAACGGGUGAGUAACGCGUAGGUAACCUGCCUUGUAGCGGGGGAUAACUAUUGGAGACGAUAGCUAAUACCGCAUAACAAUGGAUGACCCUUGUCAUUUAUUUGAAAGGGGCAAAUGCUCCACUACAGGAUGGACCUGCGUUGUAUUAGCUAGUAGGUGAGGUAACGGCUCACCUAGGCGACGAUACAUAGCCGACCUGAGAGGGUGAUCGGCCACACUGGGACUGAGACACGGCCCAGACUCCUACGGGAGGCAGCAGUAGGGAAUCUUCGGCAAUGGGGGCAACCCUGACCGAGCAACGCCGCGUGAGUGAAGAAGGUUUUCGGAUCGUAAAGCUCUGUUGUAAGUCAAGAACGAGUGUGAGAGUGGAAAGUUCACACUGUGACGGUAGCUUACCAGAAAGGGACGGCUAACUACGUGC